Molecule: ribosomal RNA, 408 nt
Filed under: uncultured bacterium
Lineage: Bacteria
Description: partial 16S ribosomal RNA
Rfam family: Bacterial small subunit ribosomal RNA
Source: RNAcentral
GACGAACGCUGGCGGCGUGCUUACCACAUGCAAGUCGAACGAAGUGGCGAACGGGUGAGUAACGCGUAAUCAACCUGCCCUUCAGAGGGGGACAACAGUUGGAAACGACUGCUAAUACCGCAUACUGAGGGGGGGGAAUGCGUCUGAUUAGCUAGUUGGAGGGGGAACGGCCCACCCAGGGGAAGCUCAGUAGCCUGUCUGAGAGGAUGAACGGCAAAACUGGGACUGAGACACGGGCCAGACUCCUACGGGAGGCAGCAGUGGGGAAUCGUCCGCAAUGGACGAAAGUCUGACGCAGCAACGCCGCGUGAGUGAUGACGGCCUUCGGGUUGUAAAGCUCUGUUAAGCGGGACGCGGUACCGGAAUAGAAAGCCACGGCUAACUACGUGCCAGCCGCCGCGGUAAUUC